Molecule: ribosomal RNA, 253 nt
Filed under: uncultured bacterium
Lineage: Bacteria
Description: partial 16S ribosomal RNA
Rfam family: Bacterial small subunit ribosomal RNA
Source: RNAcentral
UACGUAGGUGGCAAGCGUUGUCCGGAAUUAUUGGGCGUAAAGGGCUCGCAGGCGGUCUUCUAAGUCUGAUGUGAAAUCUUGCGGCUUAACCGCAAGUGGUCAUUGGAAACUGGAGGACUUGAGUACAGAAGAGGAGAGUGGAAUUCCACGUGUAGCGGUGAAAUGCGUAGAGAUGUGGAGGAACACCAGUGGCGAAGGCGACUCUCUGGUCUGUAACUGACGCUGAGGAGCGAAAGCGUGGGGAGCGAACAGG